UCCCUGGCAUUCCAGUGGUUAAGAUUCUGUUCUUAAACUGCAGAAAGCGUGGGUUCAAUCCCCAGUCAGGGAA
This 73-nucleotide transfer RNA is filed under the name Bos taurus (domestic cattle). It matches the Rfam family "tRNA". From Rfam's summary of the family: Transfer RNA (tRNA) molecules are approximately 80 nucleotides in length. Lineage: Eukaryota; Metazoa; Chordata; Mammalia; Artiodactyla; Bovidae. The record is from Rfam by way of RNAcentral. RNAcentral also lists the same sequence under 2 other names.